CCUACGGGCGGCAGCAGUAAGGGAUAUUGGUCAAUGGGGGAAACCCUGAACCAGCAACGCCGCGUGAGUGAAGAAGUAAUUCGUUAUGUAAAGCUCUAUCAGCAGGGAAGAAAAUGACGGUACCUGAGUAAGAAGCCCCGGCUAACUACGUGCCAGCAGCCGCGGUAUUACGUAGGGGGCAAGCGUUAUCCGGAUUUACUGGGUGUAAAGGGAGCGUAGACGGCAGCGCAAGCCAGGAGUGAAAGCCCGGGGCCCAACCCCGGGACUGCUCUUGGAACUGCGCGGCUGGAGUGCAGGAGGGGCAGGCGGAAUUCCUGGUGUAGCGGUGAAAUGCGUAGAUAUCAGGAGGAACACCGGUGGCGAAGGCGGCCUGCUGGACUGCGACUGACGUUGAGGCCCGAAAGCGUGGAGAGCAAACAGGAUUAGAUACCCGAGUAGUC
Molecule: ribosomal RNA, 440 nt
Filed under: uncultured bacterium
Lineage: Bacteria
Description: partial 16S ribosomal RNA
Rfam family: Bacterial small subunit ribosomal RNA
Source: RNAcentral